GCCCCGGUAGCUUAGUGGUUAGAGCGUUCGCCUCAGAUGCGGAAGUUCGCGGGUUCCAACAUAGACUGAGUCAUGCCAAAGACU
Potamilus streckersoni is the source of this 84-nucleotide non-coding RNA. The record is from the annotation of a GenBank genome assembly. NCBI's taxonomy places the organism in Eukaryota, Metazoa, Mollusca, Bivalvia, Unionida, Unionidae.